Molecule: ribosomal RNA, 253 nt
Filed under: uncultured bacterium
Lineage: Bacteria
Description: partial 16S ribosomal RNA
Rfam family: Bacterial small subunit ribosomal RNA
Source: RNAcentral
GACAGAGGAUGCAAGCGUUAUCCGGAAUGAUUGGGCGUAAAGCGUCUGUAGGUGGCUUUUUAAGUCUGCCGUCAAAUCCCAGGGCUUAACCCUGGACAGGCGGUGGAAACUACCAGGCUGGAGUACGGUAGGGGCAGAGGGAAUUUCCGGUGUAGCGGUGAAAUGCGCAGAUAUCAGGAAGAACACCAAUGGCGAAAGCAGCUUUCUGGGACGGUACUGACGCUGAGACGCGAAAGCGUGGGGAGCGAACAGG